GGAUGUAGCUCAGUGGUAGAGCACUUGCUUGGCAUGCAUGAGGCCCUGGUUCAAUCCCCAGUAUACA
RNAcentral lists this transfer RNA (67 nucleotides) under Marmota monax (woodchuck). Its description in RNAcentral is "tRNA.Ala". It matches the Rfam family "tRNA", at positions 5 to 66 of the family's 71-position model. From Rfam's summary of the family: Transfer RNA (tRNA) molecules are approximately 80 nucleotides in length. Their secondary structure includes four short double-helical elements and three loops (D, anti-codon, and T loops). Lineage: Eukaryota; Metazoa; Chordata; Mammalia; Rodentia; Sciuridae. The record is from RNAcentral.